Molecule: ribosomal RNA, 1232 nt
Filed under: metagenome
Description: SSU rRNA
Rfam family: Eukaryotic small subunit ribosomal RNA
Source: RNAcentral
AAUCUGGUGCCAGCAGCUGCGGUAAUACCAGCUCCAAUAGCGUAUACUAAAGUUGUUGCAGUUAAAAAGCUCGUAGUUGGACUUGUGUGCGCUGUCCGCGGGUGGCCUGCGCCCAAAAGGGCGUUUCGGUUCGGCCCCGGUGGCGCCUUGAAAUCUGCAGCUGGGGGGACGUUGGCCUUAACUGGUCGGCGACCGCACGCCGGCUGCUCGGUUACUGUGAGAAAAUUAGAGUGUUCAAGGCAGGCAUUGGGUGCAAUUGAAUACAUUAGCAUGGAAUAAUAAAAUAUGGCUCCUGCCGUAUUUUGUUGGUUUUGACUGGUGGGAGUAAUGAUUGAUAGGGACGGUUGGGGGUGCUAGUAUUGAGCGGCCAGAGGUGAAAUUCAUGGAUUCGCUCAAGACUAACUUAUGCGAAAGCAUUCACCAAGGACGUCCUCUUUAAUCAAGAACGAAAGUUGGGGGAUCGAAGACGAUCAGAUACCGUCGUAGUCUCAACCAUAAACUAUGUCGACUUGGGAUCGGCGGUAGUUUUUUCAUUAAGACACUGUCGGGACCACGGGAGAAAUCAAAGUGUCUGGACUCUGGGGGAAGUAUGGUCGCAAGGCUGAAACUUGAAGGAAUUGACGGAAGGGCACCACCAGGAGUGGAGCCUGCGGCUUAAUUUGACCCAACACGGGGAAACUUACCAGGUCCAGAGAUGUAGAGGAUUGACAGAUUGAAGCUCUUUCUUGAUCACUUCGGUGGUGGUGCAUGGCCGUUCUUAGUUGGUGGAGUGAUUUGUCUGGUUAAUUCCGUUAACGAACGAGACCUCAGCCUGCUAGUGUAGUCGGCUGGAUUGCCUUUGGCGAUCCGUGAUUUCGACUUCUUAGAGGGACAAUCGACGCGCAGUCGAUGGAAGUUUGAGGCAAUAACAGGUCUGUGAUGCCCUUAGAUGUUCUGGGCCGCACGCGCGCUACACUGCUGGGCUCAGCGAGUUUUACUUGGCCGAGAGGCCCGGUUAAUCUUGUGAAAUCCCAGCGUGCUUGGGCUCGCCUCCUGCAACUGGAGGCGCCAACGAGGAAUUCCUAGUAGACGCAGGUCAUCAACCUGCAUCGAUUACGUCCCUGCCCUUUGUACACACCGCCCGUCGUUCCAUAAGAGUGAGGCAUCCGGUGAAUUCUCGGGAGAGCCUGGGCGUGGCCAGCAAUGGUCUGCUCGGGUUUGAACUUGCAUAAACUUGGUGCCUAUGAUUAGGG